This 1371-nucleotide ribosomal RNA is filed under the name uncultured bacterium. RNAcentral describes it as "bacterial SSU rRNA". It matches the Rfam family "Bacterial small subunit ribosomal RNA", at positions 28 to 1381 of the family's 1533-position model. The record is from RNAcentral.
GAUGAACGCUGGCGGCGUGCCUAAUACAUGCAAGUCGAGCGAACGGACGAGAAGCUUGCUUCUCUGAUGUUAGCGGCGGACGGGUGAGUAACACGUGGAUAACCUACCUAUAAGACUGGGAUAACUUCGGGAAACCGGAGCUAAUACCGGAUAAUAUUUUGAACCGCAUGGUUCAAAAGUGAAAGACGGUCUUGCUGUCACUUAUAGAUGGAUCCGCGCUGCAUUAGCUAGUUGGUAAGGUAACGGCUUACCAAGGCAACGAUGCAUAGCCGACCUGAGAGGGUGAUCGGCCACACUGGAACUGAGACACGGUCCAGACUCCUACGGGAGGCAGCAGUAGGGAAUCUUCCGCAAUGGGCGAAAGCCUGACGGAGCAACGCCGCGUGAGUGAUGAAGGUCUUCGGAUCGUAAAACUCUGUUAUUAGGGAAGAACAUAUGUGUAAGUAACUGUGCACAUCUUGACGGUACCUAAUCAGAAAGCCACGGCUAACUACGUGCCAGCAGCCGCGGUAAUACGUANGUGGCAAGCGUUAUCCGGAANUUAUGGGCGUNAAGCGCGCGUAGGCGGUUUUUUAGUCUGAUGUGAAAGCCCACGGCUCAACCGUGGAGGGUCAUUGGAAACUGGAAAACUUGAGUGCAGAAGAGGAAAGUGGAAUUCCAUGUGUAGCGGUGAAAUGCGCAGAGAUAUGGAGGAACACCAGUGGCGAAGGCGACUUUCUGGUCUGUAACUGACGCUGAUGUGCGAAAGCGUGGGGAUCAAACAGGAUUAGAUACCCUGGUAGUCCACGCCGUAAACGAUGAGUGCUAAGUGUUAGGGGGUUUCCGCCCCUUAGUGCUGCAGCUAACGCAUUAAGCACUCCGCCUGGGGAGUACGACCGCAAGGUUGAAACUCAAAGGAAUUGACGGGGACCCGCACAAGCGGUGGAGCAUGUGGUUUAAUUCGAAGCAACGCGAAGAACCUUACCAAAUCUUGACAUCCUUUGACAACUCUAGAGAUAGAGCCUUCCCCUUCGGGGGACAAAGUGACAGGUGGUGCAUGGUUGUCGUCAGCUCGUGUCGUGAGAUGUUGGGUUAAGUCCCGCAACGAGCGCAACCCUUAAGCUUAGUUGCCAUCAUUAAGUUGGGCACUCUAAGUUGACUGCCGGUGACAAACCGGAGGAAGGUGGGGAUGACGUCAAAUCAUCAUGCCCCUUAUGAUUUGGGCUACACACGUGCUACAAUGGACAAUACAAAGGGCAGCGAAACCGCGAGGUCAAGCAAAUCCCAUAAAGUUGUUCUCAGUUCGGAUUGUAGUCUGCAACUCGACUACAUGAAGCUGGAAUCGCUAGUAAUCGUAGAUCAGCAUGCUACGGUGAAUACGUUCCCGGGUCU